Molecule: ribosomal RNA, 503 nt
Filed under: uncultured bacterium
Lineage: Bacteria
Description: partial 16S ribosomal RNA
Rfam family: Bacterial small subunit ribosomal RNA
Source: RNAcentral
AUUGAACGCUGGCGGCAGGCUUAACACAUGCAAGUCGAGCGGGGUGAUGGUGCUUGCACUAUCACUUAGCGGCGGACGGGUGAGUAAUGCUUAGGAAUCUGCCUAUUAGUGGGGGACAACAUCUCGAAAGGGAUGCUAAUACCGCAUACGUCCUACGGGAGAAAGCAGGGGAUCACUUGUGACCUUGCGCUACUAGAUGAGCCUAAGUCGGAUUAGCUAGUUGGUGGGGUAACGGCCUACCAAGGCGACGAUUUGUAGCGGGUCGGAGAGGAUGGUCCGCCAGACUGGGACUGAGAAACGGCCCAGACGCCUACGGGAGGCAGCAGUGGGGAAUAUUGGACAAUGGGGGGAACCCUGAUCCAGCCAUGCCGCGUGUGUGAAGAAGGCCUUAUGGUUGUAAAGCACUUUAAGCGAGGAGGAGGCUCUUUUGGUUAAUACCCAAGAUGAGUGGACGUUACUCGCAGAAUAAGCACCGGCUAACUCUGUGCCAGCCGCCGCCGUAA